RNAcentral lists this ribosomal RNA (1385 nucleotides) under uncultured bacterium. RNAcentral describes it as "16S ribosomal RNA". It matches the Rfam family "Bacterial small subunit ribosomal RNA". The record is from RNAcentral.
UUCGCCCUUAGAGUUUGAUCCUGGCUCAGGACGAACGCUGGCGGCGUGCCUAACACAUGCAAGUCGAGCGAGUGGAGUUCUUCGGAACAAAGCUAGCGGCGGACGGGUGAGUAACACGUGGGCAACCUGCCUCAUAGAGGGGAAUAGCCUCCCGAAAGGGAGAUUAAUACCGCAUAAGAUUGUAGCUUCGCAUGAAGUAGCAAUUAAAGGAGCAAUCCGCUAUGAGAUGGGCCCGCGGCGCAUUAGCUAGUUGGUGAGGUAACGGCUCACCAAGGCGACGAUGCGUAGCCGACCUGAGAGGGUGAUCGGCCACAUUGGGACUGAGACACGGCCCAGACUCCUACGGGAGGCAGCAGUGGGGAAUAUUGCACAAUGGGGGAAACCCUGAUGCAGCAACGCCGCGUGAGUGAUGACGGCCUUCGGGUUGUAAAGCUCUGUCCUCAGGGACGAUAAUGACGGUACCUGAGGAGGAAGCCACGGCUAACUACGUGCCAGCAGCCGCGGUAAUACGUAGGUGGCGAGCGUUGUCCGGAUUUACUGGGCGUAAAGGGAGCGUAGGCGGACUUUUAAGUGAGAUGUGAAAUACCCGGGCUCAACUUGGGUGCUGCAUUUCAAACUGGAAGUCUAGAGUGCAGGAGAGGAGAAUGGAAUUCCUAGUGUAGCGGUGAAAUGCGUAGAAAUUAAGAAGAACACCAUUGGUGGAAGGCGAUUCUCUUGGGACUGUAACUGACGCUGAGGCUCGAAAGCGGGGGGAGCAAACAGGAUUAGAUACCCUGGUAGUUCCACGCCGUAAACGAAUGAAUACUAGGUGUAGGGGUUGUCAUGACCUCUGUGCCGCCGCUAACGCAUUAAGUAUUCCGCCUGGGGAGUACGGUCGCAAGAUUAAAACUCAAAGGAAUUGACGGGGGCCCGCACAAGCAGCGGAGCAUGUGGUUUAAUUUGAAGCAACGCGAAGAACCUUACCUAGACUUGACAUCUCCUGCAUUACCCUUAAUCGGGGAAGUUCCUUUGGGGACAGGAAGACAGGUGGUGCAUGGUUGUCGUCAGCUCGUGUCGUGAGAUGUUGGGUUAAGUCCCGCAACGAGCGCAACCCUUAUUGUUAGUUGCUACCAUUUAGUUGAGCACUCUAGCGAGACUGCCCGGGUUAACCGGGAGGAAGGUGGGGAUGACGUCAAAUCAUCAUGCCCCUUAUGUCUAGGGCUACACACGUGCUACAAUGGCAAGUACAAAGAGAAGCAAGACCGCGAGGUGGAGCAAAACUCAAAAACUUGUCUCAGUUCGGAUUGUAGGCUGAAACUCGCCUACAUGAAGCUGGAGUUGCUAGUAAUCGCGAAUCAGCAUGUCGCGGUGAAUACGUUCCCGGGCCUUGCACUCACCGCCCGUCA